This 253-nucleotide ribosomal RNA is filed under the name uncultured bacterium. Its description in RNAcentral is "partial 16S ribosomal RNA". It matches the Rfam family "Bacterial small subunit ribosomal RNA", at positions 524 to 776 of the family's 1533-position model. The record is from RNAcentral.
UACGAAGGGUGCAAGCGUUAAUCGGAAUUACUGGGCGUAAAGCGUGCGUAGGCGGUUUGUUAAGUCUGUUGUGAAAUCCCCGGGCUCAACCUGGGAAUGGCAAUGGAUACUGGCAAGCUAGAGUGUGUCAGAGGAUGGUGGAAUUCCCGGUGUAGCGGUGAAAUGCGUAGAGAUCGGGAGGAACAUCAGUGGCGAAGGCGGCCAUUUGGGACAACACUGACGCUGAGGCACGAAAGCGUGGGGAGCAAACAGG